Molecule: unclassified non-coding RNA, 337 nt
Filed under: soil metagenome
Description: partial contains 5.8S ribosomal RNA, internal transcribed spacer 2, and large subunit ribosomal RNA
Rfam family: 5.8S ribosomal RNA (bases 1-120)
Source: RNAcentral
GAUGAAGAACGUGGCGAAAUGCGAUAAGUAGUGUGAAUUGCAGAAUUCAGUGAAUCAUCGAAUCUUUGAACGCACAUUGCGCCCCUUGGUAUUCCAUGGGGCAUGCCUGUUCGAGCGUCAUUUGUACCUUCAAGCUCUGCUUGGUGUUGGGUGUUUGUCUCGCCUCUGCGUGUAGACUCGCCUCAAAACAAUUGGCAGCCGGCGUAUUGAUUUCGGAGCGCAGUACAUCUCGCGCUUUGCACUCAUAACGACGACGUCCAAAAGUACAUUUUUACACUCUUGACCUCGGAUCAGGUAGGGAUACCCGCUGAACUUAAGCAUAUCAAUAAGCGGAGGA